Molecule: non-coding RNA, 191 nt
Filed under: Tumebacillus algifaecis
Lineage: Bacteria; Bacillati; Bacillota; Bacilli; Caryophanales; Alicyclobacillaceae
Description: 6S / SsrS RNA
Rfam family: 6S / SsrS RNA
About the family: E. coli 6S RNA was the first non coding RNA to be sequenced, but its function was unknown until recently. It consists of 184 nucleotides that fold into an extended hairpin structure with a large single-stranded internal bulge.
Source: Rfam by way of RNAcentral
AGAUUCCUGCGGUGUACGUUAGGGUCCAACUGUUUUGAACCUUGAGUGUUUCUUGGGAGACAGAACUUGUUGGCGUAUGACAGGCCCACCUCUUGUAAAAGACGAUUGGGAAGUCAAAAACUGAUGACGGGUCACCCACCUGCGAGAGCAGGUUCUGAAACAUGGGGCUCGACGGCAUCUGCGGGGUACCU